CUAGCCUCAGUUCGGAUCGGAGUCUGCAACCCGACUCCGUGAAGCUGGAUUCGCUAGUAAUCGCGCAUCAGCCAUGGCGCGGUGAAUACGUUCCCGGGCCUUGUACACACCGCCCGUCAAGCCAUGGAAGCCGGGGGUGCCUGAAGUGUGCAGCCGCAAGGAGCGCCCUAAGGUAAAACCGGUGACUGGGGCUAAGUCGUAACAAGGUAAC
RNAcentral lists this ribosomal RNA (211 nucleotides) under uncultured bacterium. RNAcentral describes it as "partial 16S ribosomal RNA". It matches the Rfam family "Bacterial small subunit ribosomal RNA", at positions 1282 to 1500 of the family's 1533-position model. The record is from RNAcentral.